This 465-nucleotide ribosomal RNA is filed under the name Vreelandella stevensii. RNAcentral's name for it is "partial 16S ribosomal RNA". It matches the Rfam family "Bacterial small subunit ribosomal RNA", at positions 338 to 795 of the family's 1533-position model. The record is from RNAcentral. Lineage: Bacteria; Pseudomonadati; Pseudomonadota; Gammaproteobacteria; Oceanospirillales; Halomonadaceae.
CCUACGGGUGGCAGCAGUGGGGAAUAUUGGACAAUGGGGGCAACCCUGAUCCAGCCAUGCCGCGUGUGUGAAGAAGGCCCUCGGGUUGUAAAGCACUUUCAGUGAGGAAGAACGCGUGGUGGUUAAUACCCAUCAGGAAAGACAUCACUCACAGAAGAAGCACCGGCUAACUCCGUGCCAGCAGCCGCGGUAAUACGGAGGGUGCGAGCGUUAAUCGGAAUUACUGGGCGUAAAGCGCGCGUAGGUGGCUUGAUAAGCCGGUUGUGAAAGCCCCGGGCUCAACCUGGGAACGGCAUCCGGAACUGUCAAGCUAGAGUGCAGGAGAGGAAGGUGGAAGUCCCGGUGUAGCGGUGAAAUGCGUAGAGAUCGGGAGGAAUACCAGUGGCGAAGGCGGCCUUCUGGACUGACACUGACACUGAGGUGCGAAAGCGUGGGUAGCAAACAGGAUUAGAUACCCGAGUAGUC